Molecule: ribosomal RNA, 94 nt
Filed under: uncultured bacterium
Lineage: Bacteria
Description: partial 16S ribosomal RNA
Rfam family: Bacterial small subunit ribosomal RNA
Source: RNAcentral
CCUUGUACACACCGCCCGUCAAGUCAUGGGAGCCGGUAGCGCCCGAAGCCGCCACACCACUGUGGUGUCCACGGCAAGAUCGGUGACUGGGACU